RNAcentral lists this ribosomal RNA (960 nucleotides) under Klebsiella sp. Z-3. Its description in RNAcentral is "bacterial SSU rRNA". It matches the Rfam family "Bacterial small subunit ribosomal RNA", at positions 56 to 1009 of the family's 1533-position model. The record is from RNAcentral. Lineage: Bacteria; Pseudomonadati; Pseudomonadota; Gammaproteobacteria; Enterobacterales; Enterobacteriaceae.
UGCAAGUCGAGCGGUAGCACAGAGAGCUUGCUCUCGGGUGACGAGCGGCGGACGGGUGAGUAAUGUCUGGGAAACUGCCUGAUGGAGGGGGAUAACUACUGGAAACGGUAGCUAAUACCGCAUAAUGUCGCAAGACCAAAGUGGGGGACCUUCGGGCCUCAUGCCAUCAGAUGUGCCCAGAUGGGAUUAGCUAGUAGGUGGGGUAACGGCUCACCUAGGCGACGAUCCCUAGCUGGUCUGAGAGGAUGACCAGCCACACUGGAACUGAGACACGGUCCAGACUCCUACGGGAGGCAGCAGUGGGGAAUAUUGCACAAUGGGCGCAAGCCUGAUGCAGCCAUGCCGCGUGUGUGAAGAAGGCCUUCGGGUUGUAAAGCACUUUCAGCGGGGAGGAAGGCGAUAAGGUUAAUAACCUUGUCGAUUGACGUUACCCGCAGAAGAAGCACCGGCUAACUCCGUGCCAGCAGCCGCGGUAAUACGGAGGGUGCAAGCGUUAAUCGGAAUUACUGGGCGUAAAGCGCACGCAGGCGGUCUGUCAAGUCGGAUGUGAAAUCCCCGGGCUCAACCUGGGAACUGCAUUCGAAACUGGCAGGCUAGAGUCUUGUAGAGGGGGGUAGAAUUCCAGGUGUAGCGGUGAAAUGCGUAGAGAUCUGGAGGAAUACCGGUGGCGAAGGCGGCCCCCUGGACAAAGACUGACGCUCAGGUGCGAAAGCGUGGGGAGCAAACAGGAUUAGAUACCCUGGUAGUCCACGCCGUAAACGAUGUCGAUUUGGAGGUUGUGCCCUUGAGGCGUGGCUUCCGGAGCUAACGCGUUAAAUCGACCGCCUGGGGAGUACGGCCGCAAGGUUAAAACUCAAUGAAUUGACGGGGGCCCGCACAGCGUGGAGCAUGUGGUUUAAUUCGAUGCAACGCGAGAACCUUACCUGGUCUUGACAUCCACAGAAACUUUCCAGAAGAUGG